UACGAAGGGGGCUAGCGUUGCUCGGAAUCACUGGGCGUAAAGGGUGCGUAGGCGGGUCUUUAAGUCCGGGGUGAAAUCCUGGAGCUCAACUCCAGAACUGCCUUUGAUACUGAAGAUCUUGAGUUCGGGAGAGGUGAGUGGAACUGCGAGUGUAGAGGUGAAAUUCGUAGAUAUUCGCAAGAACGCCAGUGGCGAAGGCGGCUCACUGGCCCGAUACUGACGCUGAGGCACGAAAGCGUGGGGAGCAAACAGG
RNAcentral lists this ribosomal RNA (253 nucleotides) under uncultured bacterium. RNAcentral describes it as "partial 16S ribosomal RNA". It matches the Rfam family "Bacterial small subunit ribosomal RNA", at positions 524 to 776 of the family's 1533-position model. The record is from RNAcentral.